AAACGGGAUUUCAACUCCCAACCCAAUGUGAACGUUACCAAACUGUUGCCUCGGCGGGAUCUCUGCCCCGGGUGCGUCGCAGCCCCGGACCAAGGCGCCCGCCGGAGGACCAACCUAAAACUCUUUUUGUAUACCCCCUCGCGGGUUUUUUAUAAUCUGAGCCUUCUCGGCGCCUCUCGUAGGCGUUUCGAAAAUGAAUCAAAACUUUCAACAACGGAUCUCUUGGUUCUGGCAUCGAUGAAGAACGCAGCGAAAUGCGAUAAGUAAUGUGAAUUGCAGAAUUCAGUGAAUCAUCGAAUCUUUGAACGCACAUUGCGCCCGCCAGUAUUCUGGCGGGCAUGCCUGUCCGAGCGUCAUUUCAACCCUCGAACCCCUCCGGGGGGUCGGCGUUGGGGAUCGGCCCUCCCUUAGCGGGUGGCCGUCUCCGAAAUACAGUGGCGGUCUCGCCGCAGCCUCUCCUGCGCAGUAGUUUGCACACUCGCAUCGGGAGCGCGGCGCGUCCACAGCCGUUAAACACCCAACUUCUGAAAUGUUGACCUCGGAUCAGGUAGGAAUACCCGCUGAACUUAAGCAUAUCAAUAAGGCGGAGGAA
Molecule: ribosomal RNA, 592 nt
Filed under: Trichoderma harzianum
Lineage: Eukaryota; Fungi; Ascomycota; Sordariomycetes; Hypocreales; Hypocreaceae
Description: eukaryotic LSU rRNA
Rfam family: 5.8S ribosomal RNA (bases 203-356)
Source: RNAcentral